GUAGGUGGCAAGCGUUGUCCGGGAAUUAUUGGGGCGUAAAGCGCGCGCAGGCGGUCCUUUAAGUCUGAUGUGAAAGCCCACGGGCUCAACUGUGGAGGGUCAUUGGAAACUGGGGGACUUGAGUACAGAAGAGGAAAGCGGAAUUCCACGUGUAGCGGUGAAAUGCGUAGAGAUGUGGAGGAACACCAGUGGCGAAGGCGGCUUUCUGGUCUGUAACUGACGCUGAGGCGCGAAAGCGUGGGGAGCAAACAGGAUUAGAUACCCUGGUAGUCCACGCCGUAAACGAUGAGUGCUAAGUGUUAGGGGGUUUCCGCCCCUUAGUGCUGCAGCUAACGCAUUAAGCACUCCGCCUGGGGAGUACGGCCGCAAAGGCUG
Molecule: ribosomal RNA, 375 nt
Filed under: uncultured organism
Description: partial 16S ribosomal RNA
Rfam family: Bacterial small subunit ribosomal RNA
Source: RNAcentral